Molecule: ribosomal RNA, 502 nt
Filed under: uncultured bacterium
Lineage: Bacteria
Description: bacterial SSU rRNA
Rfam family: Bacterial small subunit ribosomal RNA
Source: RNAcentral
CUACGGGAGGCAGCAGUGGGGAAUAUUGCACAAUGGACGAAAGUCUGAUGCAGCAACGCCGCGUGGAGGAUGACACAUUUCGGUGCGUAAACUCCUUUUAUAUGAGAAGAUAAUGACGGUAUCAUAUGAAUAAGCACCGGCUAACUCCGUGCCAGCAGCCGCGGUAAUACGGGGGGUGCAAGCGUUACUCGGAAUCACUGGGCGUAAAGAGCAUGUAGGCGGAUUGAUAAGUUUGAAGUGAAAUCCUAUAGCUUAACUAUAGAACUGCUUUGAAAACUGUUAAUCUAGAAUGUGGGAGAGGUAGAUGGAAUUUCUGGUGUAGGGGUAAAAUCCGUAGAGAUCAGAAGGAAUACCGAUUGCGAAGGCGAUCUACUGGAACACUAUUGACGCUGAGAUGCGAAAGCGUGGGGAGCAAACGGGAUUAGAUACCCCGGUAGUCCACGCCCUAAACGAUGCACACUAGUUGUUGUGAGGCUAGACCUUGCAGUAAUGCAGUUAACAC